UACGGCGGGUGCGAGCGUUGCUCGGCAUUAUUGGGCGUAAAGCGUACGCAGGCUGUUCGUUAAGUCGGGUGUGAAAUCCCAGGGCUCAACCCUGGACGUGCAUCCGAUACUGGCGAGCUUGAGUGCGGGAGAGGGAAGCGGAAUUCCUGGUGUAGAGGUGAAAUUCGUAGAUAUCAGGAGGAACACCGGUGGCGAAAGCGGCUUCCUGGCCCGACACUGACGCUCAUGUACGAAAGCGCGGGGAGCAAACAGG
This 253-nucleotide ribosomal RNA is filed under the name uncultured bacterium. RNAcentral's name for it is "partial 16S ribosomal RNA". It matches the Rfam family "Bacterial small subunit ribosomal RNA", at positions 524 to 776 of the family's 1533-position model. The record is from RNAcentral.